CCUACGGGCGGCAGCAGUGGGGAAUAUUGCACAAUGGGCGCAAGCCUGAUGCAGCCAUGCCGCGUGUGUGAAGAAGGCCUUCGGGUUGUAAAGCACUUUCAGCGGGGAGGAAGGCGGUGAGGUUAAUAACCUCAUCGAUUGACGUUACCCGCAGAAGAAGCACCGGCUAACUCCGUGCCAGCAGCCGCGGUAAUACGGAGGGUGCAAGCGUUAAUCGGAAUUACUGGGCGUAAAGCGCACGCAGGCGGUCUGUCAAGUCGGAUGUGAAAUCCCCGGGCUCAACCUGGGAACUGCAUUCGAAACUGGCAGGCUGGAGUCUUGUAGAGGGGGGUAGAAUUCCAGGUGUAGCGGUGAAAUGCGUAGAGAUCUGGAGGAAUACCGGUGGCGAAGGCGGCCCCCUGGACAAAGACUGACGCUCAGGUGCGAAAGCGUGGGGAGCAAACAGGAUUAGAUACCCUUGUAGUC
This 465-nucleotide ribosomal RNA is filed under the name uncultured Klebsiella sp. RNAcentral describes it as "bacterial SSU rRNA". It matches the Rfam family "Bacterial small subunit ribosomal RNA", at positions 338 to 795 of the family's 1533-position model. The record is from RNAcentral. Lineage: Bacteria; Pseudomonadati; Pseudomonadota; Gammaproteobacteria; Enterobacterales; Enterobacteriaceae.